CACCUUACCUUAGAGUGGGUGGCAGCAGCCGCGGUAAUACGGAAGGUCCGGGCGUUAUCCGGAUUUAUUGGGUUUAAAGGGAGCGUAGGCCGGAGAUUAAGCGUGUUGUGAAAUGUAGAGGCUCAACCUCUGCACUGCAGCGCGAACUGGUUUCCUUGAGUACGCACAAAGUGGGCGGAAUUCGUGGUGUAGCGGUGAAAUGCUUAGAUAUCACGAAGAACUCCGAUUGCGAAGGCAGCUCACUGGAGCGCAACUGACGCUGAAGCUCGAAAGUGCGGGUAUCGAACAGGAUUAGAUACCCCGGUAGUCCCUCCAGGAUUGCAGGUACCA
This 330-nucleotide ribosomal RNA is filed under the name Natronogracilivirga saccharolytica. RNAcentral's name for it is "Bacterial small subunit ribosomal RNA". It matches the Rfam family "Bacterial small subunit ribosomal RNA", at positions 488 to 817 of the family's 1533-position model. The record is from Rfam by way of RNAcentral. Lineage: Bacteria; Pseudomonadati; Balneolota; Balneolia; Balneolales; Cyclonatronaceae.